RNAcentral lists this ribosomal RNA (491 nucleotides) under uncultured bacterium. RNAcentral describes it as "partial 16S ribosomal RNA". It matches the Rfam family "Bacterial small subunit ribosomal RNA", at positions 29 to 507 of the family's 1533-position model. The record is from RNAcentral.
AGUGAACGCUGGCGGUAGGCCUAACACAUGCAAGUCGAACGGCAGCACAGUAAGAGCUUGCUCUUACGGGUGGCGAGUGGCGGACGGGUGAGGAAUACAUCGGAAUCUACUUUUUCGUGGGGGAUAACGUAGGGAAACUUACGCUAAUACCGCAUACGACCUACGGGUGAAAGCAGGGGAUCUUCGGACCUUGCGCGAUUGAAUGAGCCGAUGUCGGAUUAGCUAGUUGGCGGGGUAAAGGCCCACCAAGGCGACGAUCCGUAGCUGGUCUGAGAGGAUGAUCAGCCACACUGGACCUGAGACACGGUCCAGACUCCAACGGGAGGCAGCAGGGGGGAAUAUUGGCCAAUGGGGGCAAGCCUGAUCCAGCCAUACGGCGGGGGUGAAGAAGGCUUUCGGGUGGUAAAGCCCUUUUGUUGGGAAAGAAAAGAAGCAGGUUAAUCCCCGCUGUUCUGACGGUACCCAAAGAAUAAGCACCGGCUAACUUCGUG